CCCCCCCCCCGGAGUUCGGUUCUGUCCGUUUCUACAUUCUGCUCCACAUCUGUUUAAUACGUCUUUGUUCAACGGGGGUUCUGCCCCCUACUGGUUAACUUUAAUGCGCUUGGUACUUUUUUAUUCCAUCAACUUAUGUGCAGAUCAAUCAAUCCCAAUUUUCUUGAGACCCAAUAUUGUCUUCAAAAUUAAAUUUACAUAGAAGUGACAUUAUGUCAUUUUUAGAAGUAAGUUUCUGAAACAAUAAAAUGAAAUUUAAAACGUUAAGAAGCCGGUUUGAAGUUUUGCGUCCCACCUAAAGAUCUGCCGCGGGUCACAAGGGCACAAUGUGGAGCUUGGACCGUGUAAAGGCUCCGUAUCCUGUUCCCUUCGUUUCAUACUGGUAUUUGGGCUUUCUACGUGCUUUCCUGGAGCACAUGUCUUUCCCGGAAUCAAACUCUCUCAGUGAAGAUCUCCUCUGAGGAGCCUUUUUACGAGCUCCUCUGCUGCGGUUUCAGUUAUUGUUACCUGCUGUAGUACAGCGUGCCACUAAUACCGGGAAACCGCUAAUCCACUUGGACAAAUUGGGCCCAUUGUUGGGCUGCAGGCUGCCAACUCUCUGCUUGCUGGUUUUAAUGGUUGCUGGCAGAAGAUCGGGAACAUUUGGCCGUUUUUGCAAGACAGAGAAGGUGGAAAACAACGUUUUUAUGUUCCAGUAAACACCUCCUCUACUUUGCCUGUUGUUUUAUUGGCUUGGCAUUAUUAACAGUUGUAUCACUAUUAGUGUGACCUGUGUGUCUGAUGAGGUUAAUUAGUCCCAUGUCUCUAAGAAGCCCCCCCCCCGGGUGUCAUUUUUAACUCAUCCAUGUUUUUCCAGUCUCUCUCCUCCUCAGCCUCGUUUUCUCAAAGUCUUUUCCCAUCAUUCGUCUUCGCUCUCUAACGAAGCCCAGCCUGUUUUCUUCGUCCCUUUUUUCCAGCCUCUCUUUUGCUCCUCCAUCAGUCUGGAGGAUUUUCUUUGGACAGCCUCCGUGCGGGACAACAUUAGUCUGUUGUGCAGCUUCCAUCACCUUCCAUCUCGGUUGCCUUCGCCGUGCACCUCUUAAGGUUUCUUCGUGUUAUUCCCCUUCGCAUCACUAAUCUUAGUGUCUGCUUCUUGACGUUACCUCUCCCCCCCCCCCCCCCCACUAACCCCAUUCUGACCCCUCUCUCCCUCCCACUACGUCUCCAUGUCAGCUCUCAUCUGUCCUUUCUCAGCCUUCCCUUAAUCCGUCUCCUCUGGGCCGUUCUACAUGCUGGGAAAUUGCUUUUUUUUGUGUGCUUAAGCCCUCAAACACAUUUACUCACUAUUACAAAAACAUUUGUAUGAGCUUCCAGAAAUGUUUCACUGCUGCCAAUUCAUUAAGUGCCUCUUUUUUAAUGUUGUGACGCUUUGUGUACUUGAAUAUGCAUGAAGCGCACUCAGCUUAAGUUACAACCUUCAAUUAGGUCAUUUUCUCUAAAAACGUUAAGCAACAUUGAAUCUGUGGCGACAACAACCUCAACGAGUGGUAAACAGAACUGAACUUUUAAGUCAUGAAAAUAUUUCAGUCAUUUAAUCCUGAUUUCACCCACAUAAGUAAAUGAAACCCUCGGUCGGGCUGAUUCUGGUUAGUUCUUAUUGCUCGUCUACGUGGGGGCGAGUCGGACGGAGCCGUGCCGGUUUCCCAUAAACCAGCCCGCUCGAAAAUGUCUGCAGGAGAACGUCCUCCACGCGCGUCUUCGCCAAGGAGCAGACGGCGGAGAAGAACAAGGCGUAGCACCGCCUCCGAGUUCAGGCCCGGCGCGCUUCGCCCUGCGGCUCGGCCUAACGCCUGCGAGGUCGGCUCGGGUUAAAAGUGACUCAAAGUGCUGAAGUUAAUGUGCUCAGCAAUUAGUGUCAAGCGGUGUGUGUGUGUGUGUGUGUGUGUGUGUGUGUGUGUGUGUGGGAGAAGAGCAGGGGAAAGUGUGCUAACAAGGAACAAUAAGAGAAAAGCUUUGAAUGCAAGGAAACACACUUUCACGCAAUGUUGAGUUUAGAGAAAAAGGUUUUAAGAGGAAACUCAACCAUGUACGUAAAAAUCGAGUGUCCUUUGGCCUUUUCAUGUAGAUUUAGUUACACAAAGAGUAGAAUGAGGAACCAGCACAUUACCACAGAAGUCAGAUAAUAUCGCGCCUGAAACAACAAGAAGGUGGAAAUGAUAAUCACGGUCGGGUGUGACUGCUGCCCCUUCAACCCGCAGCGCUCAGCAGGGAGGUUUCCUCUCAACAUCAAAAGCAAGCGAGCACAAUCGGCUGAAAGGGAAUCCAGGGAGAGCGACGGCGGAGCCCUUUGGAGACAUUUGAGACUGUUGUCUUUAGAAGCUCCCGAGUCACUCAGGCCGCAGCCGUGGAUCCCACCCGAGAUCGCCCAGCUUUCGCUGCGAAGAAAAUAAAGCACAAAAAGCACUCGUGCAGCACGAGACCUUCCGUGCACAUUCGUCACAGUUAUUCCCCGUGAAAGCAGGCGCGAGCUAUUGGCACAGCAAAGUAAGAAACACUUCAGACGAAGAGGAAGGCCAGAUUUGAACCGUUGCACGUUUAAAUUGUGGCCCGCUAACGAAAACAAAGCCCCCGGCGGUUCACAGAUUGUACUCAUCACCGCGCUGUGCGCUCCACCCGGGGAACGUCGGGAGUCCUAUUUGCAUAACGGAAGCCGGUUGUGUUGAGUGGACACUUCACAUCCCAACCACGAAUGAAAAGGACGCCGCAGCGAGAUGUGCCGAGCAAUCGCCCAGAUGUGUCAGCCGUCCACCUCUGUGGUGAUGGAACCUGGACUCGGUUCAGCCGGAGCGCUCAGCUCAUCUUUCAGGCGGAUGGCGUUCCUUCAGCACUCGGUACCGCGGGGGGGGGGGGGGG
Long non-coding RNA from Gasterosteus aculeatus aculeatus (three-spined stickleback), 2892 nucleotides. Lineage: Eukaryota; Metazoa; Chordata; Actinopteri; Perciformes; Gasterosteidae. The record is from Ensembl.